UUCAUUGCUGUGCGAGUCCGUGUCGCGCGUUGGUAGUAGUUUGUUCUGCACCGCGCGUGUCUGUGGGUUUGUUCGGCGGUGCCCUGUGCGGUGGUGGGACGUCAGAGUCAGUUCGUGUUGCUGCGGGAAAUGGCUGUCGAGGAGGUAGGUCAGGAGCUUGCUUUUGGCUGUUAUAUCUUGGCGUGCUAGUUGUCGUGGUUGGGACUGAGGUGCCUUACAACGUGCUUUUGGAGUGCGUGUGCGUCUCUGUGUGCGUCCGGAUUGGAUAGCUUGCUAUGCAGUUUGUCACGUGUGCGGAUGGAUGUGCGCGUUUACUUUUGGCCGUUCGGGACUUUGACGAAAUGGCGCGAUCCGACCCGUCUUGAAACACGGACCAAGGAGUCUAACAUGUGUGCAAGUGUUAGGGUGUGGAAACCCAAGCGCGAAAUGAAAGUAAAGGACAGCGUUGGUUGUCUGAGGUAGGAAACCCUUGCUCGUCAGGGGUGGCACUAUCGACCGAUCAUGAACCCUCGUGGUGAAAGAUUUGAGUAUGAGCACAUAUGUUGGUACCCGAAAGAUGGUGAACUAUG
This 569-nucleotide ribosomal RNA is filed under the name Phytopythium sp. Its description in RNAcentral is "partial large subunit ribosomal RNA". It matches the Rfam family "Eukaryotic large subunit ribosomal RNA", at positions 451 to 835 of the family's 3401-position model. The record is from RNAcentral. Lineage: Eukaryota; Oomycota; Peronosporomycetes; Pythiales; Pythiaceae.